RNAcentral lists this transfer RNA (72 nucleotides) under Petromyzon marinus (sea lamprey). RNAcentral's name for it is "tRNA-Cys (GCA) (tRNA-Cys-GCA-24-1)". It matches the Rfam family "tRNA". Rfam says of the family: Transfer RNA (tRNA) molecules are approximately 80 nucleotides in length. Their secondary structure includes four short double-helical elements and three loops (D, anti-codon, and T loops). Further hydrogen bonds mediate the characteristic L-shaped molecular structure. tRNAs have two regions of fundamental functional importance: the anti-codon, which is responsible for specific mRNA codon recognition, and the 3' end, to which the tRNAs corresponding amino acid is attached (by aminoacyl-tRNA synthetases). tRNAs cope with the degeneracy of the genetic code in two manners: having more than one tRNA (with a specific anti-codon) for a particular amino acid; and 'wobble' base-pairing, i.e. permitting non-standard base-pairing at the 3rd anti-codon position. Lineage: Eukaryota; Metazoa; Chordata; Hyperoartia; Petromyzontiformes; Petromyzontidae. The record is from RNAcentral.
GGGGGUGUAGCACAGUGGUAGAGCUUUUGACUGCAGAUCAAGAGGUCCUUGGUUCAAAGCCAAGCGCUCCCU